This 292-nucleotide ribosomal RNA is filed under the name uncultured bacterium. RNAcentral describes it as "partial 16S ribosomal RNA". It matches the Rfam family "Bacterial small subunit ribosomal RNA", at positions 505 to 796 of the family's 1533-position model. The record is from RNAcentral.
GUGUCAGCCGCCGCGGUAAGACAGAGGGCUCAAACGUUGUUCGGAAUUACUGGGCAUAAAGCGCACGCAGGCGGCUUGCUAAGUCGGGUGUGAAAUCCCUUGGCUCAACCGAGGAACUGCAUUCGAUACUGGUAGGCUCGAGGACGGGAGGGGUAAGCGGAACUCCAGGUGGAACGGUGAAAUGUGUAGAUAUCUGGAGGAACACCGGUGGCGAAAGCGGCUUACUGGCCCGUAUCUGACGCUCAUGUGCGAAAGCUAGGGGAGCAAACGGGAUUAGAAACCCCCGUAGUCC